UUCUGCUGAUACCAGUACAGGUAUGGAUAGCUGCUGUCACCGUGAUGACAAUAAAGCUUUGCCUGUUUCUCCUUCACAGGCUGUAGAAGAUGUUGGGGAGACUGCUGAAUGACAGGAGAACAGACCACACAAACUACAACAGGGACAGUGUAGAAGUGCCAGGAAAAUAUGAGAAGAAAGAGACAGGACUGCACUGGAAUAUGUCCAAGGCUGUAGAAGAUGUUGGGGAGACUGCUGAAUGACAGGAGAACAGACCACACAAACUACAACAGGGACAGUGUAGAAGUGCCAGGAAAAUAUGAGAAGAAAGAGACAGGACUGCACUGGAACAUGUCCAAGGCUGUAGAAGAUGUUUGGGAGACUGCUGAAUGACAGGAGAACAGACCACACAAACUACAACAGGGACAGUGUAGAAGUGCCAGGAAAGUAUGAGAAGAAAGAGAUGGAACUGGACUGGAACAUGUCCAAGGCUGUAGAAGAUGUUGGGGAGACUGCUGAAUGACAGGAGAACAGACCACACAAACUACAACAGGGACAGUGUAGAAGUGCCAGGAAAAUAUGAGAAGAAAGAGACAGGACUGCACUGGAACAUGUCCAAGGCUGUAGAAGAUGUUGGGGAGACUGCUGAAUGACAGGAGAACAGACCACACAAACUACAACAGGGACAGUGUAGAAGAGCCAGGAAAGUAUGAGAAGAAAGAGACAGGACUGCACUGGAAUAUGUCCAAGACUGUAGAAGAUGUUUGGGAGACUGCUGAAUGACAGGAGAACAGACCACACAAACUACAAGAAGGAGAGCAUAUCAAUGCAUGUACAUUAAAUAAUUUAGACUGCUUUGCAUUGGAAAUGCUUACCUGUUAA
Long non-coding RNA from Ctenopharyngodon idella (grass carp), 861 nucleotides. RefSeq lists it as uncharacterized. The transcript is spliced from 11 exons. NCBI's taxonomy places the organism in Eukaryota, Metazoa, Chordata, Actinopteri, Cypriniformes, Xenocyprididae. The record is from RefSeq and is a predicted model, not a curated record.